RNAcentral lists this long non-coding RNA (15535 nucleotides) under Gossypium barbadense (sea-island cotton). Its description in RNAcentral is "long non-coding RNA (GBAR_LNC006812)". The record is from RNAcentral. Lineage: Eukaryota; Viridiplantae; Streptophyta; Magnoliopsida; Malvales; Malvaceae.
CGGGAUAAGGCCAGGUAAGCUUCUUCUUCCCCGAUUUUGAUGUAAAAACAGUUUGCAAGGAAAAGAAAGCAAGAAAAACAAAAAAAAGAGAAGAAAAGCGAAAUGGAAAAGAAUAAAAAAACAACCUUCUAGGCCUUCAAUCUGAUUUUUUUAUUGAUAUCAAUUACUCUUGUACGUUCUGCUAUUGUGUAUGUCCAAAAAUCGGGAAAAAAAAGAUCCCUUUACACUUGAUCUAAUUUGGUUUUUAUAGCUAAUUUUUCAACCUCUUUUACUUGUUUGCAGGUACGUGCUAGGUGUGGACUCUGACGUGGAGGUAGAGUGGUGCACGAUGCGGAGAGUCGCAUGACCUGCGGUGCUUGGAGACUGCCUCAGUUGCAAAUGAUGGCUCCUAGAGUUUUUUACAAUCUGUUUGUGUUUUGGGCCGUUUGGGCCAUGUUUGUAAAUGGGUACUUAGGUUUAGGUCUGCUCUUGUUGGGUCUUAGUUUCUAGUGGUUUGGGCCGGGUAAAAAUUGAGUCCAACAACUGCCCCUCUUUGCUCAUUGCCGUGUAACGGGGAUGGAGCAAAGACUUCAAAUGGGUCAAUUUUUCCUGGCCUUCGUGAUGCUCCUCUUCUUUAAGUAGUCUUACUGCAUCUUCAAGAAGAUAAUGUUCGUAACUUUAACUUGCCCCACUGUAACUUCAGGGAGAUAAGGUCAAUGGCUAAGAUCCAUUCCAUAGCCAAUAUAUGGAGAUAGGACUCGCCAUUUCUGAUAUGCUCCAUAGCCGAUACAUGGAGAUAAGAUCCGUAAUUUUUAGUCUGUUUCCUGUAACUUCAGGAAGAUAAGACUAGUAUUUUCAACCUGCUCUCUUGCUGCCCCAGAAAGAUAAGGUCGGUGGUUAAAAUCUGCUCCAUAGCUGAUAUAUGGAGAUAAGAUCUGUAAUUUUUAGUCUGCUUCCUGCAACUUCAGGAAGAUAAGACUUCUAUGUUCAACCUGCUCUCUUGCUACCUCAGAGAGAUAAGACUAGUGGUUAAAAUCUGCUCCAUAGCCAAUACAUGAGGAUAAGACUCACCAUUUUUUAUCUACUUCAUAGCCAAUACAUGGAUAUAAGAUCUGUAACUUUUCAGCCUACUUCCUGCAAUUUUAGGAAGAUAAGACUAGUGGCUAAAAUCUGCUCCAUAGCCGUUACAUGGAGAUAAGAUCUGUAACUUUUCAGUCUGCUUCCUACAACUUCAGGAAGACAAGACUAGUAGCUGAGAUCUGCUCCAUAGCUGAUACAUGGAGAUAAAGUCUGUAAUUUUCAGUCUGCUUCCUACAAUUUCAAGAAGAUAAGACUUGCUAUCUUCAGUCUGCUCCACUGCAACUUCAGGGAGAUAAGACUUGUCAUUUUUGAUCUACUCCAUAGCCGAUACAUGGAGAUAAGAUCUGUAAAUUUUCAGUCUGCUUCCUGCUGCUUCUUGCAACUUCAGGAAGAUGAGACUUGUCAUUUUCGAUCUGCUCCAUAGCCGAUAUAUGGAGAUAAGAUCUGUAAAUUUUCAGUCUGCUUCCUGCAACUUUAGGAAGAUAAGACUUGUAAUCUUCGACGAUACACUACACUGUCCUCUGAGGAACAUAUUCUGUAAAAUUGAUUUCAUGUAUGUAUGCUUUUACCGAAUAGUUAGGAUGCUAUGAUCGAAAUGAAUCAAACGCUCCUAACUAGAUGUGAUGCUUAUGUCAAAUAGUUAAGAUGCUAUGAUCAACAUGAAUCACGUGCUCCUAACUAGAUGUACUAUGAAUGACAUUGGUAUGAAUGCUGAAUGUCAUGAGAAAUGUCUUCUUUUUCAUUUUUCUCUUUUUUUUCCUUAUGGUUUAAGCUGUUAUUGCUCGCCGUUUGCUCUUGACGUAUUUCUUCUCGUUUAACUGACACAUAUCUGAAGCAAUAGUCUUCAAUUAAACUUCUUACCUCUCAAGUAACUCUGACCCUUAAGCUUGGUGGGUCUGAAUAAUUGACCUAUUUCGGGUUCUUGCACUACUUAGAAGCUUCUAGAGUAAUAUGCAGAACCCCUUUUGUGAAAAUAUUAUCAGUCUAUUAACCAAUUAUUUCAACAAAAAAUGCUUGAAAAAGACUAUCAGAAUGAAUAAGAUGAAACUUUAUUGAGAGCGAAACCUGAGGUAAAAUAUUAAUCAAGACAACAAAUUUUACAAAGGUACAAAAGAUAUAUGAGAUAGAAAAUUGGUGCCCUAGAUAUCGCAGCGUGAGCUCAUCUAUUCAGACUGUUCGAAAACCCUUGGAGGCCAGAUGUGUGUUUAGAAGGCCCAAGAUAUUUUGUUGAUGCUUCCAAGAUGUAAUGCUCCUCUUUCUUGUUAAUUCUAGUAGAAACAAGGUCGCAACAUGCCCCAUCUCUGAUCACAUUUUGAAUUGCCUUUUUCAGGUUUUCAACUCAAAACCCAUUGGUUUCAAAGCGCUCUUUGCGGGUUUUCACCUUGGCCUCUCCCUUUUUUUUCAGAGCACCCCUUUGCGGGUUUUCACUUUGGCAUCGUCUUUUUCAAGUGAAGUAUUUCUUGACCGAAUCUGAAUUUAUCGGGUUGGAGAAGCUUUUGCCGUCCAUUUUUGCUACUAUCAGUGCCCCUCCAGAAAAAACCUUUUUCACUACAUAAGGUCCUUCCCCAUUUGGCAUCCAUUUCCCCCUGAAAUCCUUUUGCAUAGGGAGAAUCUUUUUCAAUACCAAGUCCCCUUUCUGGAAUACUCUUGGGCAAACUUUCUUGUUGUAAGCUUGCAUCAUUCGCUUCUGGUACAUUUGACCACGACGGAUAACCUUCAGCCUCUUUUCCUCAAUCAAGUUUAGCUGGUCAUACCGAGAUUGAACCCAUUCUGCUUCAUCUAACUUCACUUCAGAUAAAAUCUGGAGAGAAAAAAUCUCGACUUCAAUGGGCAAGGCUGCCUCUAUCCCAUAAACCAACGAGAAAGGUGUUGCCCCAGUAGAAGUUCUGAUCGACGUACGAUAGGCAUAGAGAGCAAAUAGUAGCUCUUUAUGCCAAUCAUUGUAGGUCUCAACCACUUUCCCCACAAUCUUCUUUAUAUUUUUAUUAGCUGCCUCAACUACUCCAUUCAUUUUUAGGCGAUAUGGUGACGAGUUGUGGCGUUUAAUUUUGAAUUGACUGCAGACCUCCACUAUUACGCUGUUAUUUAAAUUUAACGCAUUAUCAGAUAUGAUACUUUCCGGCAUGCCAUAUCGACAUAUGAUUUCCUUCUUUAAGAACUUGCUGACUGCCAACUUCAUGACGUUUGCGUAUGAAGCAGCCUCUACCCACUUGGUGAAAUAAUCAAUGACCACAAAGAUAAAGCGAUGUCUAUUGGAAGCCUUUGGCGAAAUCGGCCCAAUGACAUCCAUGCCCCACAUUGAGAAAGGCCAUGGGGAAGUCAUGACAUGAAGAGGCGAAUGAGGCACAUGGAUCUUAUCACCACAAAUUUGCCACUUAUGGCAUUCUUGGCAUAAUUGAUGCAAUCUCCUUCUAUUGUAGACCAAUAAUACCCGAAUCUCAUGAUUUUCCUGGCCAUUGUGAACCCAUUGGCAUGCGUCCCGUGACACAUUCGUAAACUUCUUCCAGGAUUUUCUUUGCUUCAACAGCGUUAACACAUCUUAGUAGCACUUGGUCUUUCCUUCUUUUAUACAUGAUUUCACCGUCGAAGACAUAGUUAUCAGCCAGCCUCCUUAAUGUUCUUUUAUCAUUUUCGGUUACCUAAUCAGGAUAUACACGAUUCUUCACAUAUCGUAGAAUAUCCUGAUACCAAGGAUGAUCGUCCCUCUUUUCCUCUUCGCUGAUAUUGCAGCAAUGAGCUGGAGCAUUACAAAUACUCAUCUGGAUCGGCUUCAUACCCUCUUGUUUAUUUACUCUAAUCAUGGAAGCUAACGUAACCAAGGCAUCAACCAUCUGAUUUUCGUCACGCGGGAGAUAGUGGAAAGUAAUAUCAUCAAACUCUUUUAUUAAAUCUAGAACCAGCUCUUGGUAAUUAAUCAACUUUAAGUCUCUUGUUUCCCAUUCACCCCUGAGCUGAUAGAUUACUAGUGCAGAAUCCCCAUACACCUCUAACACCUUGAUUUUGCGCUCUACGGCCGCACGGAUGCCCAUAAUACAUGCUUCAUAUUCUGCCAUGUUAUUUGUAUAAUCAAAAUCCAAUUUGCAAGUGAACGAAUAGUGAUCUCUAUUUGGGGUGCCCUAAUUCCAUUGCCAACGGCAUUUGACACUCCGUCAAAAUUAAGUUUCCAAGGACAAUCUUUUGGAGUGUCUUCUUGAGUGGCUGCCACAUACAUUAAAUAUUCAUUGGGAAAAUCAGAGUUCAAGGGCUCGUAAUCUUCUAAAGCUCUACUGGCUAGAAAAUUUGCUAUCGCACUCCCUUUUACGGCCUUUUGGCUCACGUAAAUUAUGUUGAAUUCGAAAAGCAAAAUUUGCCAUCGGGCCAUCCUUCCAUUCAGAGCAGCUGACUCCAUCAUGAACUUAAGAGGAUCUAAUUUUGAGAUUAACCAAAUCGUAUGGUACAACAUGUACUGCCUUAAUCUCCGAGUUGUCCAGACCAAAGCACAACAUAGCUUCUCAAUCGACAGAUAUCUCAUCUCACACUCAGUGAAUUUCUUACAGAGUUAGUAUAUCGCCUUUUCUUUCUUUCCUGUCUCAUCAUGUUGGCCCACACACAUCCCAUUGAGUGGUCAAAUACUGUCAAAUACAAUAUUAAUUGUCUACCCGGGUUGGGUAGUGUCAACACCGGGGGAUUGGACAAAUAUUGUUUAACUCUAUCAAAUGUCUUGUGGCACUCUUUAUCCCACACACCUGGGUUAUGUUUCUUGAGAAGACGAAAUAUGGGGUCGCAUUUCUCAGUUAGUUGCGACAUAAACUGGACGAUGUAAUUUAGUCUUCCCAGAAAACCUCGAACUUCCUUCUGAGUGUAUGACGGAGGCAAUUGCUGUAUAGCCUUGACUUUUUCGGGGUCAACCUCAAUUCCUUUUUCACUGACAACGAAACCGAGCAGCUUUCCUGAUCUAGCUCCAAAAGUACAUUUUGUUGGAUUGAGUUUUAUCUGGAACUUUCUCAGUCUCAAGAACAAUUUCUUCAAAACCUGUAUGUGCUCUUUUUCUGUUCGGGAUUUUGCGAUCAUACCGUCCACGUAAACCUCAAUCUCGUUGUGCAUCAUGUCAUGAAAUAGGGUUACCAUGGCUUUUUAAUAUGUUGCUCCCGUAUUUUUUAACCUGAAUGGCAUCAUCUUAUAGUAAAAUGUUCCCCACAAUGUUAUGAAUGUGGUCUUUUCCAUGUCUGUAGGAUGCAUCUUUAUCUGGUUGUAUCCAGAAAAACCAUCCAUCAAGGAGAAUAAAGAGUAACCUGCCGUGUUAUCCACUAGCGUGUCAAUGUGGGGCAACGGUAAAUUGUCCUUUGGGCUGGCCUUGUUUAGGUCUCUGUAAUCCACACACAUCCCAACUUUUCCAUCCUUCUUAGGGACAAGGACAACAUUGGCAACCCAUUCUGAGUAAUUCACCACUUGCAAAAAAUCAGCGUCGAAUUGCUUCUUGACCUCUUCCUUUAUUUUUACUACAACAUCGGGUCUUAUCCUUCGAAGCUUUUAUUGAACAGGCCUGUACUCCUCUUUUAUGGGGACACGAUGUACCGCAAUGUUGGCGUUUAACCUAGGUAUGUCCUGAUACGACCACGCGAAGACAUCUUUAAACUCUUGUAGCAGUUUAAUGAGGUCUCGUCUUACUUCCUCAGUUAUUCAAGUUCCAGUUUUCACUUAUUUCCCUUCUUCUAAAGUCACAUUCUCGGUCGUCUCUUUAUGGGGUAGAAUUUGCUUCUCUUCCCGUUCUACCAUCUUUAACAAAUCAAGAGAUAACCCACAUUCUUCGUCAUCUUCAAAAUCUUGAGAUCCCUCUAAGCACAUAUCUGGCUCGAAAAGAGAUUUUGAGUCUGUAACAGUGUUGCUCAUAACAUCAAUAUCUGGAGACCUAUUACAACACAAAAAAAUAUCUAGAGAAUGAAUCUAAGGGUGGCUUAUUUGUAUGGCAUGAUUAUGAAUAUGAUGAGAAUAUGAACGAGGAUUUGGGUAAGAUGAGAUAUGAAAAAUGCAUUUCUUAUUAAAAAUAAAAGGUGUUUGAACAAGAGCCUACUUCAUAAAAUAUUCUUAUUGUUUCUAGGCUUAAAACAAUAAGUGUGUUCUGAAUAUUACUCUGUAUUAGCUUUAAAACCUACAGGAAUUUCCUUCACAGUCCAAUUAUUCAGGACACUUCCAAGCUCAUAAGGGCGGAUGCCUGAUAAGUUUCUUUUCAUCGCCCUUUCCUCCGAUAUGGUGUUGAUGCUCAAAUUGCUCAUCGAACCUUCAGUUGUCUUUUCUCCUGUCAUCUCUGAUUUAAUAUGCAUAAUUCCUCCUGUCACGAACGUAUUGGAAUAUGGGGGAAGGUCAUUGAUUCCCACUUGACCUCUACCCCAUUCAAUCAUGCCAUUCGUCUCUCUUAUUUCCUCACUAGCUCUUCCUUAUUCUGUCUGGCGUCUGGCCUAUACCCCAAACCAAAACGAUCCCACUUGCCAACUAAUCUCAGCACUUUGACCCAUCCAUGAAGAUAUUUUCCAAGUCCCCUUCCAGCCAAUGCUCAUUUUCCUAUCGUUGGUCGUAGGCCCAUCGUCGUGGCUCUUGAUAUUUUUGGCAUUGGGACCUUGCCUCCAUCGGUGAUAAAAGUUGCAUUUAUGAACUCUAACGACUGAAAAGAGCACUCUAUUGCUUCAUCAUCAUUCUCGAUGUACGGCGCAUCACUAGUAACAGAUGCGAUAAUGUCUUCCUCUGCAUUUAUAGUUAUCAGUCGACUUUCCGUCACCAGCUUCAGCUUCUGGUGAAAAGAUUAUGGAUCUACUCCCGUUGAGUAAAUCCAAGGCCUCCCCAGUAAACAAUUAUAAGAAGGCCUAAUGUCCAUCACGAGAAAGCCUACCUCAUAUGUGUUGGGUCCAAUCUGAAGGGGAAUCUCAAUCCCACCCAUUACUUUCCUCUCUGUGCCAUCGAAUGCUCUCACUAUGUUCUGGCAUAUCUUCAUGUGAGAGCUAUCUAUGGGUAACUUGUUCAAUGUAGAUAGGGGUAAGACAUUCAGUACCGACCCAUUGUCAAUUAAUGCCCCCGGUAGUGUAUAUCCUUUGCACCAGGUAGUGAUGUGCAAAGCCUUGGUGGACCCCGUACCACCUGGCGGUAUUUCAUCAUCGCUGAAAGAAAUGAAGUUGUCAGGGCUAAUAUUGCUGACGAGACGGUCCAGCUUGUUCACUGAAAUGUUUUCAGCAACAUAAGUUUCAUUCAACACUUUCAUCAAUGCAUUACGGUGUGCCUCCAAAUUUUUUAGCAAUGCUAGUACCGAGGUGCGAGCUGGCUGCUUGUGUAACUGCUCCACAAUACUAUAUUCACUAUGCUUUAAGAACUUCAGAAAUUUUUUAGCUUUAUCCGUUGUUACUGGUUCAUUAACCAGUGGUUUUGUCCUUCCUUCCCCUUGUUCAAACAUCAGAGACUUCUUUUUUACAAGCUUGGCUUUUGUAUUUGGUGUGCUGGCCAACCUUCCAUCUCCUGGCAAUGUCACAUUACAAUUAUAACUCCAAGGCACCAUUUUGUUAUCCUUAUAAGGAAAAGCUACCGGUUUCUGAAUCACCACUUUUGGCGUCGUUCUUGCUUCAACUUUAUUUAUUCCCGGUCGUGAAAUGAUCACCACUGGGUGAUUGACUUCACAGACCUUCUUUAUUAGCCCCUCCUCUGAGACGCACACAUGUUUCUCUUCAGCGAACUCGAAGAACUCCAUCUCCUUGUUGUCCAUUAGACCCUGUACCAGGGCCUUGAAUUCAUUACAUGUUUCUAUCUCAUGGUCCUCAUCUCCGUGGAACUCAAAAUAGUUCCCUACUUCUCGGGACUUACUCCCAAAGUCUUGUAUGACUAGACCUCUUCCUACCAUCUUCUUCAGAACCUCCCUCAUCGAAGUUCUCACCUCCGCUACAUCCAACUUAACUCUCCUUCUCAUAUUCUCGACUACCACGUUUACCCCAUUAAAAAUAUGAUUGGGUAACGGGUUUUUCGCGUUAGGCAUCUCAUCGAACUUGACAACACCCAAGUUGAUGAGCCUUUCGACCACUCUUUUGAAAGAAGUGCAAUUCUCGAUCAAGUGUCCUGCAACGCCCGCAUGAUAUUCACAUUGGGCACUUGUAUCAUACCAUUUGGGGUAUGGAGGCUGCAACGGUUUUAAGUAGAACGGGGAUACAACAUGUGCAUAGUAGUAAACUAGGGCUUCUCCGUAUUCUGCUUUGUAUUGGGUUCAUGUCUUGACGAAGCUUACUGGCCGGUGACUGUCGUUCUUGGUUGAUUAAUUGUGAUUGGUUUUAUAUGACCCAUGCUCACAUUGCCGACCUUAUUUUCUCUUUUUUUUCGGAGCUGACCUCCUGAUGCUCUCCCCAGCCUCUAUUUUUCCACUCCUUAUCGUAUUCUCAAUCAUUUCACUGGACAUCACUUUGUCAGUGAAACUCUUUGUCGUGCCUCCCAACAUAUGAUUGAUAAAAGGCGCUUUCAAGGUGUUGAUGAAAAGCAUAGUCGUCUCUUUUUCCAAGAGCGGUGGUUGAACUUGGGUAGCGACUUCCCUCCACCUCUGAGCAUACUACCUGAAACUCUCGUUUGGCUUUUUCUCAAUGUUCUGUAGCGUGAUCCGAUCGGGCACUAUGUCCGUCACAUGGCCAUACUGCUUCAUGAAGGCCUGUACUUGGUCUCUCCACGAUUUAAUUUGGGUACGACUCAGCUGAUUGUACCAUUUGGCUGCAGCCCCACUCAGACUAUCCUGGAAACAGUGAACGAGCAACUGAUCAUUAUUGACAUGACCAGUCAUCCUCCGACAAAACAUCGUGAUAUGAAGGCAACUGGUUCCGUUGUAUUGUUCAAACUCCGGCAUUUUGAACUUCGGAGGGAGCACUAGGUCUGGAACCAAACUCAACUCUUUAGCAUCCAUACCACAUUGAUAAUCUGCGCUUUCUAGCGCCUUGAAUUUCUCCUCCAGCCAUUUGUAUCGGACAUUCAGUUGCUUUGGGAGUUCUCCUUUUGUCUUCCCUACCUUUGCCAUCUCAUCAAAGUCGAGGACCGAAAGAUUUACCCCGAUCAUCCUCGGGUUUAGAAUAUGAGCCCGUCAAGAAAUUCAUUGGUACCGAAAUACCGGCCUGAUACUGGGGCUUGACAUUGACAGACACCCUUUGAGGUGGUAUUGGGGUAGUCACUGGAGUGAAACCUGGAGGGUAAGUAAGGAUCUCGCUAUCGCCAUCUAGGUUGACUAUAGGGCUCUUCCCUUUACCUGACCCUCUGAGCAACAACUGAGUUAGCUGAUUCAUCAUGUCCUUCUGCGAUUCUUGCAUCCGAUCUUUCAUAUCCUGCUGAAUCUUAGCCAGUUGCUAUUGCAUCUGCGCUUGCAGCCGCUCCUGCAUUUCUCUCUGCAUUUGUUCCAAUUUUUCCAGCCUUUAAUCCAUAGCUUUAGUUUUUUUGCGCGUGUAGUAUUGAUGUUCCAGGGUAACUAUAAUACGAUUACUUUUAAUCAGGGUUCCUUUUGUGAAGUUUAAUACACAUGAUGUAAUGAAAUGCAAAUGCAUGAGAUGUAUGCAAGACUAAAGAGGUGUCGAUUCUGAUUCAAUUUCAAUUAGAAAACUUUAUUAGAAAAUAAAAAACUUUAUAUAAAAUAGAUCACAUAUACGGCUUGGCCUUAAUGCUUAAAGUUUUAAUUCUCUUAAGGAGACUAGCCAGCUCAAGACCCCGGUCUGACACUAACUCAUACUUCACACUUAAUACAUCAGCUUGAACUGCUAAGGUCUGUAAAUGAUAGACCACUUCUCGGAUCUGAGCCAGGGCUUCACCCAUGAUAUAAUCUCUAUCCUUGACUUGGUCUUGCGAUCGACAGAACUGUUCCUUCCACUGUUCAUUAUUUGUCUCAAGGAAUUCAAUUCAAAAUUCACAGUUCUGUAAUGCAAACUCGAGUUAUUCUACCCUUCCUUCUAAAUCCUUAAUCCUACUCAGGCUUGCCCCUAGCUCAAUGUCAAAUUUACGACCACGAUUUUGAUGCAGCGCCCUUUCUAACUCUGCUACCCAAGCCGUUAACAUCUGCUUCUCAUCUUGGCCCUCAGCCAAACUCUUCUUUAAUACGCUUUCACGUGCCCGAGCAUCAUGGAACCUCUUCUCCUAUUUAUCAGCUCUAGCUUUUUCAACUUGAAUUUCUUGCUGCCACUGCUCUGAUGUCUUUCUCAAUCCACCUGUUCUCAUUGACAUAUGCAGCUUUUUGUAGUCAGUCUUCAAACCGUCUAAGUCAUUUUUGGCCUUCCUUUUCCCUUUCUUAACCUAUCGGCCUCGAGUCUCUGAACAUCGACAUCUAACCUCAAAUACAUCUUUUCCUCCUCUAAUUGUUCUAUCUUUUUCCCUAACUCUAAAUUCCUCUUUUUAAAAUCCUGUUUUAUGAUUUCUAACUCAGAGGAGACUACUUGUAGGUAUUCUUGCAUCGGUCGAGUGCUUUCUUGCCCUGGUCUGGGGAUAUUAUCAUUAACUCUUCUACCCCGGCAACUGUCUUAUUCGAAGGUCAUCAUUGGACCUACAACAACUCUUUUCAUUCGACGAGUCUGGCUCCAAGCGCUAAAAAUCUUUUUAAUCUUUUUCUUGCAGUUAACUCCUACAUACGUGAAUUCAAAUUGAACUAGCCCAUGCGUUGCCAGUAUGAACUGUCUCAAUCUGUAUUGCCUCUGUGUGAGUAAGGGAGCAUAUCCAACAGCUCUCCAAAUUCCAGAUAGAGGUACCCAAUCAAAACUCCCACACCAAUAGAAGAUCUCAUCGGGAACCAACCAAUGAGCUCUCCACUCAACAUCCUCCUCUUGGAGAUUUUGGAAGAGUGCUAUCCAAUUCUCCUUUGAUAUGUCAUCUCUCCUAGGCGUAACCGCUAUCUCCCUUAACGGGGAAUAACUUUCAGAGAAAACCCGAAUAGGAAACUUUAUCCACUUUCCAGAAAUUGCUAUAAAACCAAGCUAACAAUAACUGAGCGCACCCUAUAAAUCUGCCUUCUCCAACUCUCCUGCAUGUAUUCAAAGAUCUAAAUGUCUCAGCCAAGAUUGCCGGAACAGGUGUGACUCCUUUGCCUAAUCGGUCAAAAAGACCCGAGACUGCCUCAUCUACAUGCCCUAAUGCCCUCGGGAAAAUCAUUAAACCAUAGAUGCUCAAAGAAAAAACAUCAACUCUCCUCUUUGCAUCAGGAUGCACUAGAAUCAACUCCAUCAAACUCCUCCAUGGGAUGCACUUACAUUCCCCCUUUUUCUUGACCCUUGUUGCAAUCCACUGCUCACUCAUCCCUGUAUCAUUCAUCAAUUUCUUUACAAAAUGUGAGGCAUUAGCAUCCCUGGAAUAAACUCUAUCGACCUGAACCUUCGGACAAUGAAGUAGAGCUGUAUAUUCUUCUACAGUAGGUACCUUAUCUACCCUCCCAAAGGUAAAACAACUGUAGGCAGGAUUCUAAUACUGAACGAGAGCCCAGCAUAAGUGUUCGUCUACCUUGAUGUCAAGUAAGUAGGGUAAAUCCCCAUAACUACCAUAGAAUAACCUCUUGGUUUCUUCAUCCCGCUGGUCUCAUAUCUCCUUUAAUUCCCAGAGAUCAUUUUGCGUCACACUGAUGCGGGUGUAAUCACAUAAUUCUGAUGUAUACCCCUCGGCAAGACUGUCCCCCUUCUUUAAUUAUGUUUUCUUAGACCAUAUACGAACAACCGCAUUAUCUUCUACUUUAUCAAGAAAUUCGUUCUCCAUAACAAGCUCCCUAAAUUAGUAAUCAAACGUGAAUCGACGCCUCUUAUGAAUGAAAUGACAUGCAAUUAUGGCCAAAAUAAAACAUAACAAGUCAGUAUCGUAUACCAAAUAUAAAAGUCAAAGUAAAUGGAAAGAAAUAAUCAAACACUAGUUUGGGUGAUUGCUAAAGUUUGGAAUGACUCUACCUAGGGUGGACUCUUAAGGCUCGUUAUAUGUGGUUUGGUUCUAAAGAAAAGGGUACCUGAACCAGCAGAUUCCUCGGUCCUCACCCAUUAUAGGUUCAUAUGGGCCGAGUUUAGUUCAGGGGAAUACAUUUCCCUAUGGCUGCACGGAGGUAAAAACCUCACGAAGACAUAGGUACAGAUGUAUCCCGAAAGCGAUCCACUAUCCUGCAUGGAGGUGAAAACCUCACGAAGGAAAUAGUUUUUCACUCCCACUUAAAGGGUACGACCACAACAGUCAUGCAAGAUGAUGCAAGGGGAUAUAAAAACUCAAAGUACAAAACAUGAAUAAAAUGGUGAACCAUAAAACCCACGAAAUGCGAUGAAAGAAUCGUAUGUUAAAAACCAAAUUUUUAAAUUUUGAUAAAAGGACAGAAAAAUGAUCAAUUUUACGGCUUGACUCUCUUAUGUCCCCAGCGGAGUCGCCAAGCUGUCGAAACCAUUUUUAUUUUGAAAAACAGAGGUCGACUUUAAAACGAAAAUGGAGUCGCCACCAAUCCUUUUUGUUUAGGUGUGAUCGGGUCACCUUGUGAUCGAUCAUUUUGAUAAAGCAUUUUGGUUUAUUAAAACAACAUUUUUGGUCUACGAAAAACUAGAAAGCGGAUUCAGGAGUCAGUUACGCGUAAGGAAGGAUUAGCACCCUCGCAACGCCCAAAAUUGGUACCGUAUUAAUCAAUUAACAUCCUAAUGUUGAAAAUUUGAAAAAGAUUUUAAAAUACAAUUCCUUUAAAACAUUUGGAUAACUUGAAUUGGAUAUUGAGAUUCUCUCGCUUAGAAGGAAUAAAAUAUUACGUCCAGCACGAUUGGAUACAAUAUUUUGAACCCUCGACACAAGAUCAUCUCAGGAUUUCCAAAACACAUGCACUUAAAACUUUUAAAAAGGAUAUUUGGCUAUUCGGCCCAAACGAUAAAUCGAAACCCAGCACGAUUGAGAACGAUUUAUCGAAUUUCCAAAUACGAAAUAUUGCCUCAUUUUAAUUCAAGAAAACAUGGAUGAAAUGUCAAAAGGAUAUUCCGUAUCUUAGUCAAAUGAAAAAAAACGAAACCCAACACGAUUGGGCACGAUCUCUCGAACUUCCAAACACGAAAUAUUGUCUUGUUUUAGUUUAAGAAAACAUGGAUGAAAUUUCAAAAAAGGAUAUUCCAUAUUGUAGUCGAAUGAAAAAAACGAAACCCAGCACGAUUGAGCACGAUCUCUCAAAACUCCCCAAAUACGAAAUAUUGCCUCGUUUUAGUUUAAGAAAAAGUGGAUGAAAUUUCAAAAAAAAGGAUUUCCAUAUUUUACUCGAAGGAAAAAAAAAGAAACCCAGCACGAUUGAGCACGAUCUCUCAAACUCCCCAAAUACGAAAUAUUUCCUUAUAUUGAGAGGGUUCUCUUGAAACACGAGUGGUUAUAAAAGCGGUGGAGCAUAUUUAUACGAUUUAUUUGAAAAUAGAAAAAAAAUUAAAUAAACAAUUUGAAACAAACAAUAAAUAUCAUAGCUCACCGUUCAUCGACUAUAGUACAAAGGUACAAAUAUAAAAAUUAAAAUGCAUAAAAACAACAAUAAGCAAACAGGUAAUAUAUAAAUAUUAAUGCAUAAAUAUAAAAUUUAAUAUAAAUGAAUUUCAAAAGAAAUAUUAUGAGCUGAAAUUUAACAUAAAUGUUGUACAAAACAAUUUACAACUAAAAUUAGUAAAAAUGUGACAUUAAAAUGUACAUAAAAAUUGCAACGUAUGCUCAGGUCAAAUUUUAAAACAAAUAAUAUACAUACCAGACAGUAUAAAUAAACUAUUAGUACCAGUAUAAAUCUAUAUAGUAUAAAAUCAAUAAUCAUAAAAAAUAUUUGUUAACAACUUAUAAUGCACAUAAAGUAGAAACUUAAUGAGUAUAAAAUAUAAAAAUAAUGAAUCAUAGUGUUUUUUUUAAAUAUAUAUAUAUGUAGUAAAAUAAGAUUUUUAGAAGAAAUAAAUUGUAUAUAAAAAAAUUUAAAAUAAACAAAUUACAAAAUAAAAUAAUUUUUUAAAAAUGUAAAAUAUUAAAAUAGAUAAAUAAAAAAAAGAGUAAAAGAAUUUUAAAAAAACUAAGAAAGAACUCCAUUGAAACAAAAACAAAAUUCAGAGAAUAGUUUAAAACAAAUCGAAUUAUUAAAAUAAAAUCCAGGACUUGAACUAGAUAAGCACUAACAAGCAAGAACUAAAAAUGCAAAUUCCCCAAGUCCCAACACACUGCAUCUAAACGCGGACUAAACUGGAAUGACACGCAAAUUCUAGGGAUGAAUUUAAAGAAUCUAAGAAAGCAUAAGCAAGGCCCAAUUGAUCACUAGCGCGAAGGGGGGAUUCAAUGCGCAAAUUUCCCAUUUUGGGUCAAACAUGUGAGCCCAGCACCAAAUGGUGCUGUUUUAACCGUAUGUAAAAGCUAAAAAAAAGAAACCCCCCUCCAAAACAACAGCCUUGCAGAUUAUUUUCAAGAAAAUUCAAAACCCUUUUUUAGACUCACCCUCUGCUAGGGUUUCGUCUCUGUUUUGAGAUGCCGCUCACGAGGGUCAUCGGUGCUUCUGCGCCUCCACCUCUGACGCCGAACCACGGGGUAAGGCCAGGUAAGCUUUUCUUCCCCGAUUUUGAUGUAAAAACAGUUUGCAAGGAAAAGAAAGCAAGAAAAAUAAAAAAAAAAGGAAGAAAUGCGAAAUGGAAAAGAAUAAAAAAACAACCUUCUAGGCCUUCAAUCUGAUUUUUUUAUUGAUAUCAAUUACUCUUGUACGUUUUGCUAUUGUGUAUGUCCAAAAAUCGGGAAAAAAAAGAUCCCUUUACACUUGAUCCAAUUUGGCUUUUAUAGCCGACUUUUCAACCUCUUUUGCUUGUUUGCAGGUACGUGCUAGGUGUGGACUCUAACGUGGAGGUAGAGUGGUGCACGACGCGGAGAGUCGCAUGACGUGCGGUGCCUGGGGACUGCCUCGGUUGCAAAUGAUGGCUCCUAGAGUUUUUUGCAAUCUGUUUGUGUUUUGGGCCGUUUGGGCCAUGUUUGUAAAUGGGUACUUAGGUUUAGGUCUGCUCUUGUUGGGUCUUAGUUUCUAGUGGUUUGGGCUGGGUAAAAAUUGAGUCCAACAAUGUCAUUUCAUUUUCAUUUCAAACACUUUACCAUAUUGGCACAUCUAUUCAUUCAACUUACCAUUUCUUCCAUGUUUAACUUUUAGCAUAUCAAAUGUCAUGUUCAAGUUUAAAAUCAUCAAUUAAACCACAUUAAGCAUUAGCUAUUUCAUACAUCAUCUAGUACAUACCAAUUUUUCAACAACUCAAUAUUUGCCACAAAUAUCAAACGUACCAAAUGAUCAACAUAGUGACCAUUUACUUAACAUCUAAUCCCUAUAAACAUGUCAUGAUCCCAAAACUCAAAAUGAUCAAAAAGCUAUCAAAUUAAGGAUAGUGUGAGCUUUGAGGCAAUCCGACUUGAUGUUUUCCACAAAGUAUUGAUCUACAAGGGAAAGGAAAAACAACGAGGUAAGCAUAUAAAAUGCCUAGUAAGUUCAUAUGAAAUUUACAUUACUUACCUUAACAAUUCAACAAGCUAG